RNAcentral lists this long non-coding RNA (220 nucleotides) under Trifolium pratense (red clover). Its description in RNAcentral is "long non-coding RNA (TPRA_LNC007299)". The record is from RNAcentral. Lineage: Eukaryota; Viridiplantae; Streptophyta; Magnoliopsida; Fabales; Fabaceae.
UCAUAUAACAGUAACACCCCUCCACAAAUAUUAAAAUCAGAUCUCACUCUACCCUAUAAUUUUUUUUAAGUAAAAGUAAAUAUAUUACAUGAUAAUAUAUUCUUAUAUUGAUGUGGUUUCUGCCUCUAAAUCCACCACAAGAGCUCAAUGAAUGAGAUUUGGUGAGCUACUUUUUCAUUCCAAUAUAUCUUUUUUUUUUUUUUACUAAUAAAUUCUUUAU